Neogobius melanostomus (round goby) is the source of this 75-nucleotide small nucleolar RNA. NCBI's taxonomy places the organism in Eukaryota, Metazoa, Chordata, Actinopteri, Gobiiformes, Gobiidae. The record is from Ensembl.
CAACAGUGAUGAGCUCUUUAUCCCGAAACUGAUAAUUUCUGAUGAUAAAAACCUUACGGAUCUGACUACUGAGUU